This 253-nucleotide ribosomal RNA is filed under the name uncultured bacterium. RNAcentral's name for it is "partial 16S ribosomal RNA". It matches the Rfam family "Bacterial small subunit ribosomal RNA", at positions 524 to 776 of the family's 1533-position model. The record is from RNAcentral.
UACGUAGGGUCCGAGCGUUGUCCGGAAUUAUUGGGCGUAAAGGGCUCGUAGGCGGUCCGUCACGUCGGGAGUGAAAACUCAGGGCUCAACCCUGAGCGUGCUUCCGAUACGGGCGGACUAGAGGUAUGCAGGGGAGAACGGAAUUCCUGGUGUAGCGGUGGAAUGCGCAGAUAUCAGGAGGAACACCGGUGGCGAAGGCAGCCAUCUGGACCGACACUGACGCUGAGGUGCGAAAGCGUGGGGAGCAAACAGG